Molecule: transfer RNA, 25 nt
Filed under: Phytophthora multivora
Lineage: Eukaryota; Oomycota; Peronosporomycetes; Peronosporales; Peronosporaceae
Description: partial tRNA-Phe
Source: RNAcentral
GGUGGUUCAAAUCCACCUCCAGACA